UACAUACUCCCUCCGUCCCAAAAUUCCUGCCUUAGAUUUUUCUAGAUAUGAAUGUAUCUAAUCAAAUUUUAGUAUUUAGAUACAUCUAUUUCUAAACAAACCUAAGAUAAAAAAAGUUGAGACGGAGGGAGUAGUCA
Molecule: non-coding RNA, 137 nt
Organism: Hordeum vulgare subsp. vulgare (domesticated barley)
Lineage: Eukaryota; Viridiplantae; Streptophyta; Magnoliopsida; Poales; Poaceae
Source: Rfam